Molecule: long non-coding RNA, 582 nt
Organism: Oncorhynchus tshawytscha (Chinook salmon)
Lineage: Eukaryota; Metazoa; Chordata; Actinopteri; Salmoniformes; Salmonidae
Source: Ensembl
UCCACUAUGUUACUGUUCCCACUAUGUUACUGUUCCCACCAGGUUACUGUUCCCACCAGAUUACUGUUCCCACUAUGUUACUGUUCCCACUAUGUUACUGUUCCCACCAGGUUACUGUUCCCACUAUGUUACUGUUCCCACUAUGUUACUGUUCCCACUAUGUUACUGUUCCCACUAUGUUACUGUUCCCACUAUGUUACUGUUCCCACCAGGUUACUGUUCCCACUAUGUUACUGUUCCCACUAUGUUACUGUUCCCACUAUGUUACUGUUCCCACCAGGUUACUGUUCCCACUAUGUUACUGUUCCCACUAGGUUACUGUUCCCACUAUGUUACUGUUCCCACCAGGUUACUGUUCCCACCAGGUUACUGUUCCCACCAGGUUACUGUUCCCACUAUGGUACUGUUCCCACUAGGUUACUGUUCCCACUAUGUUACUGUUCCCACUAUGUUACUGUUCCCACCAGGUUACUGUUCCCACCAGGUUACUGUUCCCACUAUGUUACUGUUCCCACCAGGUUACUGUUCCCACUAUGGUACUGUUCCCACCAGGUUACUGUUCCCACCAGGUUACUGUUCCCA